UGGGGAAUUUUGGACAAUGGGCGAAAGCCUGAUCCAGCAAUGCCGCGUGUGUGAAGAAGGCCUUCGGGUUGUAAAGCACUUUUGUCCGGAAAGAAAUCCUUGGCUCUAAUACAGUCGGGGGAUGACGGUACCGGAAGAAUAAGCACCGGCUAACUACGUGCCAGCAGCCGCGGUAAUACGUAGGGUGCAAGCGUUAAUCGGAAUUACUGGGCGUAAAGCGUGCGCAGGCGGUUUGCUAAGACCGAUGUGAAAUCCCCGGGCUCAACCUGGGAACUGCAUUGGUGACUGGCAGGCUAGAGUAUGGCAGAGGGGGGUAGAAUUCCACGUGUAGCAGUGAAAUGCGUAGAGAUGUGGAGGAAUACCGAUGGCGAAGGCAGCCCCCUGGGCCAAUACUGACGCUCAUGCACGAAAGCGUGGGGAGCAAACAGGAUUAGAUACCCUGGUAGUCCACGCCCUAAAACGAUGUCAACUAGUUGUUGGGGAUUCAUUUCCUUAGUAACGCAGCUAACGCGUGAAGUUGACCGCCUGGGGAGUACGGUCGCAAGAUUAAAACUUAAAUGAAUUGACGGGGUCAUAGCUG
RNAcentral lists this ribosomal RNA (580 nucleotides) under uncultured bacterium. RNAcentral describes it as "partial 16S ribosomal RNA". It matches the Rfam family "Bacterial small subunit ribosomal RNA", at positions 355 to 932 of the family's 1533-position model. The record is from RNAcentral.